Molecule: long non-coding RNA, 1913 nt
Filed under: Gossypium barbadense (sea-island cotton)
Lineage: Eukaryota; Viridiplantae; Streptophyta; Magnoliopsida; Malvales; Malvaceae
Description: long non-coding RNA (GBAR_LNC007374)
Source: RNAcentral
UCUCUUUCGCUCUAUGGCGUGCUCGUUUGGGUUGGGCGUCGGCUAAGAGUGCUCGGAGCGUGGAUUAACUCCAGUCGCCAAUCAGGUGUGUAUUUCUCACUACUCUAGCUGUAGGAUGGCUACUUCGGGCUAUGUGGGCCCAAUGGGCCUACGGGCCCAAUUGGAUAAGUUGUUUGAUUGUAUAGUAAUAUUAGACUAGGCUAGGUGAAUCUCAUAUCUGUGGCUAGAUUUUGGCUAAAAGGGCCACACGAGCGUGUGGGGCCAUUUGGGCCGAAGGCCCAUUCGUAUUGUUACCCCUGGUUAGAAUACUUUAGUUUACCAAAUUACUAAAAUGCCCUUAAUUUGUAAAAUUACCAAAGUACCCUUGAUUUACAGAAUUGCCGUUUUACCCUCGAUUUAUAGAGCUACCAUUUUACCCUCGAUUUAUAAAAUUACCAUUUUACCCUCGAUUUAUAGAAUUACCAUUUUACCCUCGAUUUAUAGAAUUACCAUUUUACUUUCGAUUUACAGAAUACCCAUUUUACCCUCGAUUUACAGAAUUAUCAUUUUACCCUCGAUUUAUAGAAUUACCAUUUUACCCUCGAUUUACAGAAUUACCGUACAAAAUUAUUGAAAUACCCUUGGUUUACAAAAUUACCAAAAUACCCUCGAUUAGUAAAAUUACCAAAAUACCCCUGGUUUGUAAAAUUACUAAAAUACCCCUGGUUUGUAAAAUUACCAAAAUACCCCUGGCUUGUAAAAUUACCAAAAUACCUCUAAUUUGUGAAAUUAUCAAAAUACUCUCGAUUUGUAAAAUAUCGAAAUACCCCUGUAGGGUAGAAUUACCAAAAUACCCCUGUAGGGUAAAAUUACCGAAAUACCCCUAUAGGGUAGAAUUACUAAAAUACCCCUGUAGGGUAGAAUUACCGAAAUACCCUUGUAGGGUAGAAUUACUGAAAUACCCUUGUAGUGUAGAAUUACGAAGAUACCCUUGCGGGGUAAAAUUACCAUUUUGCCCCUAGAGUGUUAAAUGACUAUUUUGCCCUUGUGGGCAAGUGACUGACUUGGACUAUGUGGUUGACGGAUUUGAUUGUGAAUAUAUGUUGGUGAUAUGAAUGACUUGACUGUGAUUGUUUGAUUCAAAUAUGGGCAUGACAUUCUGCAUACAUGACAUGUUGCAUGGGUUGGGUUUUAUAAAAAUGGAGGAAGUGCUAAAAGGGCUUUGCCCCAGUUUACCGAAAAGGGCUUUGCCCCAGUUUACUGAAAAAGGCUUUGCCCCAGUUUACCGAAAAGGGCUUUGCCCCAGUUUAUCAAAAAGGGCUUUGCCCUAGUUAUUAAAAGAGGCUAGGCCUCCAGUUAUAAGAUAAAGCAGCUAUGCUGCCAGUGGAGAGUUUGGUUGGGUGGGUUGAGUUAUUCCCCACAUGGAGAGCUUGGUUGGUACGGGUGGAGAGUAGCGGAUGGUGGGUUGAGUAGUCUCCCCAAAUGGGCUUGCAUACUUUCAUUGUAUUCCAUGUGAUUUUGAAAUGGGCCUAUGGGCCAUACCAUUUACAGUGAAGGCUUCGGCCCAGUGAUUUGAUUUAUGAAAAGGCUCCGGCCCAGUAACUGUUAAAUGAAAGGCUUCGGCCUAGUAAAUGUCAAGACUAAAUAGGGCUUUUGCCUAAAUUGAACUGAUACCCGUGUUAUUCACUGUUUUUUUGUUAUUGGGAUUACACACUGAGUUUUCGUAAACUCACUCCGUUUCUAACUGUGCAGGUAAUCCCUAAGCUUAGAUGGUUUGGAGCUGCAAGGGACUCGAAGAUGGCCACACUACUGUUUUUAUUUCUUUUAAUUUCAAUUAGAUUUCAUUUUGGAUUUUUAAAUUAUGUAAUAAGGCCAUAGGUGGGUUUUAAGUUUUAAUUUGGAUUGUGAUUUCUUACACUAAACUGCUAGUCUAG